AGCCUGUGAGAAGACAUCUGGGUCAUUUCUCAAGCCAGCUAGCAGGACAUCUGAAAGGGGCAUGCUAACCAAAACCUCCCUUUCCGAUGUAGACAAAAGAACCACAAAGAAAGGAAUGUUAUCUGAGCUGUGGACCUUGGAUAUUGAAAGUCUCCUGGAAACCCCAAGGAGAAAUAUUUUCAAGUAUGCUGUUCCUUCUACUCAGCCACCACCUGCUGAUCACUUGAAUUCCUACAGCCAGUUCUAGGGUCAGGGCCAAAAGCUCGCCUGUCCCCUCAAUUCUGCCCCCUUAUUAUGUACUUCAAAAUUGUCUUCCUCUGAUUAUAAAGACCUGAUGUUAUCAAUGUAAAA
This is a long non-coding RNA of Mus musculus (house mouse), 351 nucleotides long. RefSeq annotates it as predicted gene, 39681. The transcript is spliced from 2 exons. The record is from RefSeq and is a predicted model, not a curated record. Lineage: Eukaryota; Metazoa; Chordata; Mammalia; Rodentia; Muridae.